Molecule: ribosomal RNA, 811 nt
Filed under: uncultured Streptococcus sp.
Lineage: Bacteria; Bacillati; Bacillota; Bacilli; Lactobacillales; Streptococcaceae
Description: bacterial SSU rRNA
Rfam family: Bacterial small subunit ribosomal RNA
Source: RNAcentral
GCUGAAGAGAGGAGCUUGCUCCUUCUUGGAUGAGUUGCGAACGGGUGAGUAACGCGUAGGUAACCUGCCUUGUAGCGGGGGAUAACUAUUGGAAACGAUAGCUAAUACCGCAUAACAAUGGAUGACACAUGUCAUUUAUUUGAAAGGGGCAAUUGCUCCACUACAAGAUGGACCUGCGUUGUAUUAGCUAGUAGGUGAGGUAACGGCUCACCUAGGCGACGAUACAUAGCCGACCUGAGAGGGUGAUCGGCCACACUGGGACUGAGACACGGCCCAGACUCCUACGGGAGGCAGCAGUAGGGAAUCUUCGGCAAUGGGGGCAACCCUGACCGAGCAACGCCGCGUGAGUUAAGAAGGUUUUCGGAUCGUAAAGCUCUGUUGUAAGUCAAGAACGAGUGUUANAGUGGAAAGUUCACACUGUGACGGUAACUUACCAGAAAGGGACGGCUAACUACGUGCCAACAGCCGCGGUAAUACGUAGGUCCCGAGCGUUAUCCGGAUUUAUUGGGCGUAAAGCGAGCGCAGGCGGUUAGAUAAGUCUGAAGUUAAAGGCUGUGGCUUAACCAUAGUACGCUUUGGAAACUGUUUAACUUGAGUGCAGAAGGGGAGAGUGGAAUUCCAUGUGUAGCGGUGAAAUGCGUAGAUAUAUGGAGGAACACCGGUGGCGAAAGCGGCUCUCUGGUCUGUAACUGACGCUGAGGCUCGAAAGCGUGGGGAGCAAACAGGAUUAGAUACCCUGGUAGUCCACGCCGUAAACGAUGAGUGCUAGGUGUUGGGUCCUUUCCGGGACUCAGUGCCGCAGUAACGCAUU